RNAcentral lists this ribosomal RNA (429 nucleotides) under bacterium. Its description in RNAcentral is "partial 16S ribosomal RNA". It matches the Rfam family "Bacterial small subunit ribosomal RNA", at positions 355 to 776 of the family's 1533-position model. The record is from RNAcentral.
UAGGGAAUCUUCGGCAAUGGGGGCAACCCUGACCGAGCAACGCCGCGUGAGUGAAGAAGGUUUUCGGAUCGUAAAGCUCUGUUGUAAGAGAAGAACGUGUGUGAGAGUGGAAAGUUCACACAGUGACGGUAACUUACCAGAAAGAGACGGCUAACUACGUGCCAGCAGCCGCGGUAAUACGUAGGUCCCGAGCGUUGUCCGGAUUUAUUGGGCGUAAAGCGAGCGCAGGCGGUUUAAUAAGUCUGAAGUUAAAGGCAGUGGCUUAACCAUUGUUCGCUUUGGAAACUGUUAAACUUGAGUGCAGAAGGGGAGAGUGGAAUUCCAUGUGUAGCGGUGAAAUGCGUAGAUAUAUGGAGGAACACCGGUGGCGAAAGCGGCUCUCUGGUCUGUAACUGACGCUGAGGCUCGAAAGCGUGGGGAGCAAACAGG